Saccharomyces cerevisiae S288C is the source of this 109-nucleotide small nucleolar RNA. Lineage: Eukaryota; Fungi; Ascomycota; Saccharomycetes; Saccharomycetales; Saccharomycetaceae. The record is from Ensembl.
AAUGGAAAUGAGGAUCCACAGCACUGGGCACUGAGGGGGAAACAAAUAUCCUUUCAAAUGAGUGACAAUGCUUUAGCGGGCCUAGAAAACCCGCGCAACUGAUCCAUUG